CCAGUUUUUAAAGUCUAUUUAUAGAAGACUCUUAGCUGAAUGGGUACAUUUUCCUGCCACAGAAUCAGCUCGAAGGCGUGUGGCUGCUGGAUUUGAGGCUAAAUUUAAUGUGCCAGAUAUAUUGGGGGUCAUUGACUGUACUCACGUAAAAAUAUUUUCCCCUCCUGGACCACAAGGCGCCCACUACAAAAAUAGGAGAAAGGAUGCACACUCCAUAAAUGUCCAAUUGGUUGUAGAUGCAAAUUGUAGAAUAAUCAAUGUUAAUGCCCGAUACCCUGGCAGGGUACAUGAUGCUUUUAUUUGGCACCACUCGAGUGUCAGAAACGAAUUGAAAAGGCUGCAUGAAAGAAGAAUUGGAAAUUACUUCCUGUUGGGUGACUCAGGUUACCCAUUAGAGCCAUGGCUAAUGACGCCAAUCCUACAUGCAGAGCUCAACACUCCAGAAAAAAAAUACACAGACUGGCACUGUCAAGCUCGUAAUACGGUCGAAAGAGCAAAUGGCUACCUCAAAGGUAGCCUAAGAUGUUUAGGUGUUGACCGGGUCCUCCACUAUGCCCCAACAAAAGCAGCGGAAAUAAUUUACGCUUGCUGCAUUAUUUUCAAUUUAAUGAAACAUUUUGGGUAUUAAAAUAGUUUUCAGUA
Melitaea cinxia (Glanville fritillary) is the source of this 642-nucleotide RNA transcript. It is a transcript of the gene named putative nuclease HARBI1, with no coding region annotated. The record is from RefSeq and is a predicted model, not a curated record. The transcript has 4 exons. NCBI's taxonomy places the organism in Eukaryota, Metazoa, Arthropoda, Insecta, Lepidoptera, Nymphalidae.